AAAAAAAAAAAAGUCACGUCAUGUUUCUCCUCUCCUCGAAACCUUCCAAUGGCUUUUCUUCUUACUCACAGCAAAAGUCAAGGUCUAAAGUAGCUGGUGCCCAUCUACCCUUUGGAGUUUAUUUCUACACUCUUCCUGUCAUAAGCCAAACAUGCGUCUCACCUGGGUCCUAGGUUUUCUCUUCUCCUGCCUGGCAUGCUCUUCCCUCAGGUCUCUGUAGGACCUGUGCCCUCAUCUCCUCCAAGUCUUUGCUUCUUUGUGAAACCUGUGCUAAACACUCUGCUUAAAAUUAUGAGCUUACUUUGCCCAACUGCAACACAACAAUCCAUAACUCCCUUUAUUGCUUUUCUUCUUUUAUGUUUGUUAAUAUCUAACAAUAUAUAUUUUUCAUAUCAACUGGAUUUAUUUUCUAUCUUUCUCCACCACAACAUAAAUUCUAUGGAGCCGAAACCUUUAUUUUAUUCACUGCUAUACCUCCAGCUCCGAGAACAAUGUUUAGUACAUAUUAGAUGAUAAGUAAGUACUGGUUGAAUGGAUAAGUAAAUGAAUUUAUUAAUACUACAGGUGCUCUAGGGAUUUGAAGAUAAUGACUAUGAGGUUUUGGGAGAUAAGAACACUGCUGCUUCCUAUACUGCAAUUAACUAGGAGGAGAUAGAACUGGGUGGUCAGAGUAGGGCAUUGUUAGAGAGGACUUUCAAUCCUAGGCCAAGAGAUCUACAUUUAAUUUAAUGGAAAGUAAAGAGUCAUUGAAAUUCUUUAAGCAGAAGAUUAGAGUUUAAUCUUGUAGCUGAGAGAAUAGGUGGAUGAACAAACAGACUGUUGAUAUCAGUGCAUGAAAGAAUCAUUGAUCAGGUUAUGGAAACACCAAGAGACAGGACUAGUUGAAUGGAUAAUGCAGUCAUUCAUUUAAUAACUAAGGGCUUGCUAGCUGAGAAAAUAAGAGAAAAAGAUGCAUGAAACCAUCCACUGGUAGAAGCUAUAGGAUUUGGCAACUGAUUGCAUAUGGAAAAGGAAGCAAGAGUAAUUAAAGAUGACUGUGCUCUAUCCUCAGUGAUAGAGUCGAUAGGCCAGAUAAGGAGAAGAGGUGGAGAAACCUAAGGCAAGUUUUGAGGGAAAUUGAUAAUUUCUGUCUUGGGAAGUUUUUACCAGAAAAAGAGAUGUCCCUGCAUUCCUGAAGUGUAUUCAUGUGCCUUUCAGAUCUUUUCAGUAAUAGGUGCACAUUUGACCAAACUUGGGAGCUUGCUGCCUCUGAAUUUGUGCUAGGAAGGUGUUUUGGGAAUGACAGUAAAAAUAAUUGGAGUUCCCACUGUGGCUCAGCAGGUUAAGGGCCUGACAUAGUAUCCAUGAGGAUGUGGGUUUGAUCCCUGGCUCCCCUCAAUGGGUUAAGGAUCUGGCAUUGCUGUGGGUGUCGACUACAGGUGCAGUUUGGAUCCCACAUUGCAGUGGCUGGGGGGUGGGCCUGCAGCCACAGCUGCAGCUGUUCUUUGACCCGUAGCACAGGAACUUAUGUAUGCUACAGGUGCGGCCAUGAAAAGAAAAAAAAAA
This 1545-nucleotide long non-coding RNA is filed under the name Sus scrofa (pig). Its description in RNAcentral is "lncRNA (ENSSSCG00005030126.1)". Lineage: Eukaryota; Metazoa; Chordata; Mammalia; Artiodactyla; Suidae. The record is from RNAcentral.